GACGAACGCUGGCGGCGUGCCUAAUACAUGCAAGUUGAGCGCUGAAGGUUGGUACUUGUACCAACUUGAUGAGCAGCGAACGUGUGAGUAACGCGUGGAACAUCUGCGUUUGAGCGGGGGACAACAUUGGGAAACGAAUUCUAAUACCACAUAAAAACUUUAAACACAAUGUUUAAGGUUAAAAGAUGCAAUUUCAUGACUGAAAGAGGGUCUCACGUUCUAUUAGGUAGUUGGUGAGGUAAAGGCUAAGGAAGGCGAUGAUACAUAUCCGACAUGAGAGGGUGAUCGGCGGGCCUGGGAAUGGGAACCGGCACAAAGUCCUAAGGGAGGCAGCAGUAGGGAAUAUUCGGCAAUGGACGAAAGUCUGAACGCGCAACGAGGCAUGCGUGAAGAAGGUUUUCGGAUCGUAAAACUCUGUUGGUAGGGAAGAACGUUAGUGAGAAUGGAAAGACGAUCAAGUGACGGUAACUAGCGAGAAAGGGACGGCUAACUACGUG
This 497-nucleotide ribosomal RNA is filed under the name uncultured bacterium. Its description in RNAcentral is "partial 16S ribosomal RNA". It matches the Rfam family "Bacterial small subunit ribosomal RNA", at positions 28 to 507 of the family's 1533-position model. The record is from RNAcentral.